UAAACAAAUCUCGGCAACGAAUAUCUCGGCUCUCUCAUUGAUGAAGAACGUAGUGAAAUGCGAUAUCUGGUGUGAAUUGCAGAAUCCCGUGAACCAUCGAGUAUUUGAACGCAAGUUGCGCCCAAAGCCAUUAGGCCUAGGGAACGUCUAGAUGGGCGUCACAC
This 164-nucleotide ribosomal RNA is filed under the name Acaena argentea. Its description in RNAcentral is "5.8S ribosomal RNA". It matches the Rfam family "5.8S ribosomal RNA". From Rfam's summary of the family: 5.8S ribosomal RNA (5.8S rRNA) is a component of the large subunit of the eukaryotic ribosome. It is transcribed by RNA polymerase I as part of the 45S precursor that also contains 18S and 28S rRNA. The record is from RNAcentral. Lineage: Eukaryota; Viridiplantae; Streptophyta; Magnoliopsida; Rosales; Rosaceae.